GAGGAGAGCGCGUGUGCGCGGAACGCAGACUUCCACCGAGUUUCUGAAUGCUGCAACAGAGGCCUUUCCACCCUGUGAGCCACAGACGCAACUUUCUGCUCACGCCUGCGCACACGCUCGCGCACACAGCCUUAGUGCGCGUGUCUCCAUCGCACUACUCACCUUGGAUGGACGGCUUGGAAACGGCUUUCUGCACUUUCUACGAGAAGUGCAGCAGCGGCCUGGGUGAAGGUGAACCUGAG
Toxotes jaculatrix (banded archerfish) is the source of this 242-nucleotide long non-coding RNA. RefSeq lists it as uncharacterized. Lineage: Eukaryota; Metazoa; Chordata; Actinopteri; Toxotidae. The record is from RefSeq and is a predicted model, not a curated record. The transcript is spliced from 3 exons.